AUGAAAGGAUGUAAGUCAUCAUCUACACCUUUGUCCACCUAUGAGAAAAUGUCUCUUCAUGAUGGAGAGAUUCUUGGAGCAGAGGACUCCACCAGGUACAAAAGUAUUGUAGGAACAUUACAAUACUUGACAUUAACUAGACUAGAUAUCUCAUACUCAGUAAAUAAAGUAUGCCAGUUCUUACAUGCUCCCACUAGUGUACAUUUGACAACAGUAAAGAGGAUACUUAGAUAUCUUCAAGGAACAAAGAGUCAUGGACUCAGACUUGGAAGGUCAAAUUCAAUGCUUGUAAGUGCCUUUUCAGAUGUAGAUUGGGCAAGUUGUCCUAAUGAUAGAAGAUCAACAUGA
RNAcentral lists this ribosomal RNA (348 nucleotides) under Triticum aestivum (bread wheat). RNAcentral's name for it is "partial small subunit ribosomal RNA". The record is from RNAcentral. Lineage: Eukaryota; Viridiplantae; Streptophyta; Magnoliopsida; Poales; Poaceae.